UCAGUCGAGGGUGAAAACUGCAGGCUUAACUUGCAGCGUGCCCCCGAUACUACCAUUCUUGAGUGUAGGAGGGGAUGACGGAAUUCCCGGUGUAGCGGUGGAAUGCGCAGAUAUCGGGAGGAACACCGGUGGCGAAGGCGGUCAUCUGGCCUUACACUGACGCUGAGGCGCGAAAGCGUGGGUAGCAAACAGGAUUAGAUACCCUGUUAGUCCACGCCGUAAACGAUGGGUACUAGAUGUCAGAGGAAUCGACCCCUCUGGUGUCGUAGCUAACGCGUUAAGUACCCCGCCUGGGGAGUACGUUCGCAAGGAUGAAACUCAAAGGAAUUGACGGGGCCCCGCACAAGCGGUGGAGCAUGUGGUUUAAUUCGAUGCAACGCGAAGAACCUUACCUGGCCUGGAAUUGCAGCUGCAAAAUCGGUGAAAGCCGACUUCCUUCGAGGGUGCUGCAGAGGUGUUGCAUGGCUGUCGUCAGCUCGUGUCGUGAGAUGUUGGGUUAAGUCCCGCAACGAGCGCAACCCUUAUCGUUAGUUGCCAUCAGACCCUUGUGGUGCUGGGAACUCUAACGAGACUGCCCGGGUUAACCGGGAGUAAGGUGGGGAUGACGUCAAGUCCUCAUGGCCCUUACGGCCAGGGCUACACACGUGCUACAAUGGGCGGUACAAAGGGUCGCGAAACCGCGAGGUGGAGCCAAUCCCAAAAACCCGUCCUCAGUUCGGAUUGUAGUCUGCAACUCGACUACAUGAAGUCGGAAUCGCUAGUAAUCGCUGAUCAGCAGGCAGCGGUGAAUACGUUCCCGGGGCUUGUAC
This 809-nucleotide ribosomal RNA is filed under the name uncultured Deferribacteres bacterium. Its description in RNAcentral is "bacterial SSU rRNA". It matches the Rfam family "Bacterial small subunit ribosomal RNA", at positions 584 to 1386 of the family's 1533-position model. Lineage: Bacteria; Pseudomonadati; Deferribacterota; Deferribacteres. The record is from RNAcentral.